UAUCUACAUGUUUUUUGUUCAUUGAUUUAUUAUUUCACGUAGAAUUGCCUAAUGGAAUCAUUACUGUAGCAUAUAAUUUUCCAUGAAUACAGGCAGGAUCACGUAUUAACAUUUAACAACCACCACGAAACUACCACCCAAGUUCAUGAAUCCUGCCCGAUCUCAUUUCCUAUAUAAAUCCUACGUCCUCACCACCAUUUCUCACACACCCCCAACUCCACUCUCUCAUCAUUUUUCAUAGCCUACAAAAAUGCCUUCUUCUUCUACUACUAUCAUUUCCAAAUGCACUGUCUACCCUGAUCACAAAUCCUCUCUCAAGACCCUCAAGCUUUCUGUCUCUGAUCUCCCCAUGCUCUCCUGUCAAUACAUCCAAAAGGGUGUCCUCCUUUCUUAUCCACCUUACUCUUUCGACGACCUCAUCACAUUUCUCAAACGCUCUCUUUCCACCGCUCUUUCUUUCUUCCCUCCUCUUGCUGGCCGUCUCUCCACAGACCCUGAUGGACAUGUCCAUAUAGUUUGCAAUGAUGCAGGCAUUGAUUUCUUCCAAGCCAAAGCUACACAUCUUUUUAUCAACAACGUUCUUUCUCCUUCUGAUGUCCCUGAUUGCUUCAAGGAGUUCUUCGCUUUUGACAGAAUGCUCAGUUAUUCUGGUCACUCUAAGCCCUUAGCCGCAGUUCAGGUCACAGAGCUCGCUGAUGGUGUUUUCAUUGGCUGUACUGUAAAUCAUGCUGUUACAGAUGGAACUUCCUUUUGGCAUUUCUUCAAUAGCUUCGCUGAAUUCUGCAAAGGAGCUAAGAGAAUAUCAAAAUCUCCUGAUUUUAGCCGUGACACUGUUUUCAAUUCUCCGGCGGUGCUUAAAUUCCCUGCUGGUGGCCCAAAGCUUACCUUUUCAGGUAACGAACCAUUGCGCGAGAGAAUUUUCCACUUCAGCAGAGAAGCUAUUAUUAGGCUCAAAUACAGAGCCAAUAAUGGUAAUAUCUUAUGCAACCCCGCUGAGAUUUUGGGAAAGCAAUGCAAUGACAGUUGGAAAGUCGUUAAUGGAGACAGUAACGACAAAAUAGCGCCAAUCUCGGAGAAUUUCUUGAAGAACAAAACGGUAGAGAUUUCAUCGUUUCAAUCAUUGUGCGCACAGCUCUGGCGGUCCGUCACACGUGCGAGAAAUCUCUCCCCUUUUAAAAAGACUACGUUUCGUAUGGCUGUGAACUGCCGCCACCGGCUCGAGCCUUGGCUCCACCCGUACUACUUUGGAAACGCUAUACAGAGCAUCCCCACCAUCGCUCCUGUAGGGGAGCUGCUCUCUCAUGAUCUGCACUGGGGAGCUGAGCUUCUGCACAAAAACGUUGUCGCGCACGAUGAUGGUACCGUGCGGAAGGGCAUAACGGAUUGGGAGAGAGAACCCCGCUUAUUCCCAUUAGGGAACUUCGACGGUGCCUCAAUCACGAUGGGUAGCUCCCCGAGAUUCCCAAUGUACGAAAAUGAUUUCGGGUGGGGUCGACCUUUGGCCAUUAGGAGUGGUAGGGCGAAUAAGUUUGACGGUAAGAUAUCAGCAUUUCCAGGGAGAGAAGGGAACGGGAGCGUUGAUCUGGAGGUUGUGUUAGCACCAGAAACAAUGGAUGGGCUUGAAUUGGAUGGCGAGUUCAUGCAGUACGUAUCCACAAGCGUGUGAGUGAGUACAAUUGCAAGGUAGUAAAAGUGGAAUAGAUGUAUUUGGUAAGACUAAUCGGUGCUAGAUAGGGUUUAAGUUUUAUCAAUUAUCCUUGUUAAUGAGAAAUUUGUCAACUUUACUAUAAUCUAUUUAGUGAAAAUUGAUGAUAUAUCUUAUUUCUGAAGUAGAAAGUUUCAUUUCACCUAAACUUCAUUGUACCUCUUGAAAAUACUUGUCUAACAUGGAAAAUCUAUAAAAUGAAAUGGCAAUAUAUAAGUAGUUGGGUUGCAAUAUUAAAAUUGCUAGUCAUUUUGACGUAUAAAACAAUUUAAUCACUUAUAUAAGAACGCUCUUUCCAAAUUUAACUUGGGGUUGUGGGUGUUGUCUGUUAUCACCAUUUGGUUCAUCUCAUGUGAACAAGUCUUCUUCUGUGCAUGGAUUGCCACCCUCUGUUGCCUAUGAGAAUAAAUUUUAGUCUCUAUUUAACAAAUCAAACUUAGUUUUUCUUUAUGAAGUGUCUUUCAGGUUUAUGUUAAGAUUCAUCAUCUUCUAGUUAUUUUGCAAAUUAAGCUUAAAGUUAGUGUUUGGACAUCUUCCUUGCUGUUUAUGCCUCUAUAUUUCAUACUCACUUUUGAGCUUACUGUUUACAUAUCUCAUGGUUUGAACUUAAAUAAAACAAUUAAGCAGCUCAUUCUGACACAACUGUGGCAAGGAUGCUGGUU
RNAcentral lists this unclassified non-coding RNA (2367 nucleotides) under Hevea brasiliensis (rubber tree). The record is from RNAcentral. Lineage: Eukaryota; Viridiplantae; Streptophyta; Magnoliopsida; Malpighiales; Euphorbiaceae.